GUACUGCUGAGGAGUCCCAUAAUAGGUCGAAAUGGCCAUCCAAUAC
Molecule: non-coding RNA, 46 nt
Filed under: Schistosoma mansoni
Lineage: Eukaryota; Metazoa; Platyhelminthes; Trematoda; Strigeidida; Schistosomatidae
Source: RNAcentral